This is a long non-coding RNA of Cherax quadricarinatus, 1624 nucleotides long. RefSeq lists it as uncharacterized. NCBI's taxonomy places the organism in Eukaryota, Metazoa, Arthropoda, Malacostraca, Decapoda, Parastacidae. The record is from RefSeq and is a predicted model, not a curated record.
AGAAAGUUGCUGGAAGCCGGAAUUUCGAGUUUCUACGAGAAGUUUUGCCAGCAGCUGACCUCUUUCUCGGAUGCGAGUCCCUGUGAGAGGUGACCAUCACCUGGUUAACAGAUUUGACAGAGCUGGAAAUCUAGUGGUGGCGUUAAUUCGUGGUAACACUGGUGAACAGGCAGUGGUGCUGUUGUUAAUUCCGUGCUACGUAGUGCAGCGGUGGUGUCCGAUGUUGUCAUGAUUGAUGGAAGAGAACAAGGGGGCGCUGUGGUUAUUUGAAGACAGCAGCAGCAGCUACAGCAGCAGCAGCUGUGAUGCAGUGAAUGUGUGAAUUUCACUCAAAUUCAACACAUAGACCAAGAUUGCCACAGCCUUGCUGCUUCAAGACACAGGAUGAAGCUCCACAUUACGCACGCCAUAAAAGUGUUGCCAGCUACAACUCCGGCGGUGACCACAAUCCGCCCCCUCUCUCCCCUUCACUCAACGCCAUCCAAUCGCAGAGAGUUUCCGACCUGUGCUGGCAACAUUUUCAACUCGUCCGAAAGCCAUGAUGAAUGACCAGGCCUCCGCCUGGUGCCCGGGUGGUGAUGAAUAUUCAAACACCAACAACAGGCUUGAUGAAGGCAGGAGAUGAAAGUGAUAUAACUCUUUGUUGUGCAGCAGAGCGAACAACUGUGCCCCCUGGUACCCUUGGUAUUUUAAUACCCACACCAUCGCCCCACCAGGGUGGAGGGUUCAAAUAAAAAAAAAACCACCUCGCGUAUUUUUACCACAUUCGUCUGAUGAUGUCGACUCUUGGCCAGCGAUGAUGUUCCGAUACCGGCAUUCCUUCCAGCGGGGUACCCGCUUUCAGCACCAAAAAAAAUAUAAACAGAGAAAUUCCAGGGACAAAGCAGAAUUAGCAGUGUGCUGAUGUGAAAUUUAAUUAAAAGUGAAUGUCAUUGGUUCAUCGUUAUUCAACUGGAUACGGGUUUCAGUGUUGUCUAAAGUACAUUAAUUCCGGGUCCUUGUGUGAUGUGUGUAAAUGUAAGCUAGUAUAAGGUGUUUUAAUUCUGGCAGCCGGUGAGGAUUCGGUAAGUGUGAGCUGAUAUAAUUAUAGUGUUUUAAUUUGUGGUAUACAUUGCAUUAAUACCAAGUGCUGGUAUGGUGCCAGGCACUGUGAGCCAGGGUAACUGUAACCAAUACCACUGGUUAUGUAACUUAUCUCUAACAUAGAAACUCGUUAUAUUACAUAAGGUCAUGAUAAUUAAACUGCUACUACAACUAAUACCAGUACUACUAUAACUACUACUACUGUUACUAAUGCUGCUGCUGCUGCUGCUGCUGCUGCUGCUGCUGCUGCUGCUGCUGCUGCUGCUGCUGCUGCUGCUGCUACUACUACUACUGUGACGUGUCAACAGAUUAUGUUAUUAAGUUUUUAUAUUCCUUCCUCCUUAGGGUUGUAUACAUGAUACAAAAAAAAUUAUGAGGAAGGUAGUGAUAAAAUUAACCUCGGACAAUAAAAAUCAUUGGAAAGUAAGUGAUAAAGUGACGCCACAGUGUGACAGGCAAGUGAUGAGCCAGGCACAUCAGACACCCAUCUUUAUACCAUACGUAGAUGAAAACACAUGCACCGUUCAAGACAUUUAUCGAG